GACGAACGCUGGCGGCGUGCCUAAUACAUGCAAGUUGAGCGCUGAAGGUUGGUACUUGUACCGACUGGAUGAGCAGCGAACGGGUGAGUAACGCGUGGGGAAUCUGCCUUUGAGCGGGGGACAACAUUUGGAAACGAAUGCUAAUACCGCAUAAAAACUUUAAACACAAGUCUUAAGUUUGAAAGAUGCAAUUGCAUCACUCAAAGAUGAUCCCGCGUUGUAUUAGCUAGUUGGUGAGGUAAAGGCUCACCAAGGCGAUGAUACAUAGCCGACCUGAGAGGGUGAUCGGCAACAUUGGGACUGAGACACGGCCCAAACUCCUACGGGAGGCAGCAGUAGGGAAUCUUCGGCAAUGGACGAAAGUCUGACCGAGCAACGCCGCGUGAGUGAAGAAGGUUGUCGGAUCGUAAAACUCUGUUGGUAGAGAAGAACGUUGGUGAGAGUGGAAAGCUCAUCAAGUGACGGUAACUACCCAGAAAGGGACGGCUAACUACGUG
RNAcentral lists this ribosomal RNA (497 nucleotides) under uncultured bacterium. Its description in RNAcentral is "partial 16S ribosomal RNA". It matches the Rfam family "Bacterial small subunit ribosomal RNA", at positions 28 to 507 of the family's 1533-position model. The record is from RNAcentral.